RNAcentral lists this ribosomal RNA (433 nucleotides) under uncultured bacterium. RNAcentral describes it as "partial 16S ribosomal RNA". It matches the Rfam family "Bacterial small subunit ribosomal RNA", at positions 29 to 507 of the family's 1533-position model. The record is from RNAcentral.
AACGAACGCUGGCGGCAGGCCUAACACAUGCAAGUCGAGCGCGCCCUUCGGGGUGAGCGGCGGACGGGUGAGUAACGCGUGGGAACGUGCCCUUUUCUACGGAAUAGCCUCGGGAAACUGAGAGUAAUACCGUAUACGCCCAUUGGGGGAAAGAUUUAUCGGAAAAGGAUCGGCCCGCGUUGGAUUAGGUAGUUGGUGGGGUAAUGGCCUACCAAGCCGACGAUCCAUAGCUGGUUUGAGAGGAUGAUCAGCCACACUGGGACUGAGACACGGCCCAGACUCCUACGGGAGGCAGCAGUGGGGAAUCUUAGACAAUGGGGGCAACCCUGAUCUAGCCAUGCCGCGUGAGUGAUGAAGGCCUUAGGGUUGUAAAGCUCUUUCAGCUGGGAAGAUAAUGACGGUACCAGCAGAAGAAGCCCCGGCUAACUCCGUG